CCUACGGGAGGCUGCAGUGGGGAAUAUUGCACAAUGGGGGAAACCCUGAUGCAGCGACGCCGCGUGAAGGAUGAAGUAUUUCGGUAUGUAAACUUCUAUCAGCAGGGAAGAAAAUGACGGUACCUGACUAAGAAGCCCCGGCUAACUACGUGCCAGCAGCCGCGGUAAUACGUAGGGGGCAAGCGUUAUCCGGAUUUACUGGGUGUAAAGGGAGCGUAGACGGAGUGGCAAGUCUGAUGUGAAAACCCGGGGCUCAACCACGGGACUGCAAUUGAAACUGUCAGGCUAGAGUGUAGGAGAGGCGAGUGGAAUUCCUAGUGUAGCGGUGGAAUGCGUAGAUAUUAGGAGGAACACCAGUGGCGAAGGCGGUUUGCUGGACGAUGACUGACGUUGAGGCUCGAAAGCGUGGGGAGCAAACAGGAUUAGAUACCCUUGUAGUC
This 440-nucleotide ribosomal RNA is filed under the name uncultured bacterium. RNAcentral describes it as "partial 16S ribosomal RNA". It matches the Rfam family "Bacterial small subunit ribosomal RNA", at positions 338 to 795 of the family's 1533-position model. The record is from RNAcentral.